AUAAUUUAGAAAAAUAUGUGCUAAGAUCAAGUGUAGUACCUGUUCUUAUCAAUUUAACAUCUGAUAAAUCCUCUAAAUGAGGACUACAUAUUAAACUGAUUUUCAGAACAGGGAGAUGGAAGAGGGGCUUGCUCCGUCCAUGCCUCGCAUCGACCUGGUAUUGUAGUACCUCCGGGAACGGCGUACCACCU
Pygocentrus nattereri (red-bellied piranha) is the source of this 191-nucleotide small nuclear RNA. Its record names the gene U2. It matches the Rfam family "U2 spliceosomal RNA". From Rfam's summary of the family: U2 is a small nuclear RNA (snRNA) component of the spliceosome (involved in pre-mRNA splicing). Complementary binding between U2 snRNA (in an area lying towards the 5' end but 3' to hairpin I) and the branchpoint sequence (BPS) of the intron results the bulging out of an unpaired adenosine, on the BPS, which initiates a nucleophilic attack at the intronic 5' splice site, thus starting the first of two transesterification reactions that mediate splicing. The record is from Ensembl. Lineage: Eukaryota; Metazoa; Chordata; Actinopteri; Characiformes; Serrasalmidae.